This is a long non-coding RNA of Eupeodes corollae, 2325 nucleotides long. RefSeq lists it as uncharacterized. Lineage: Eukaryota; Metazoa; Arthropoda; Insecta; Diptera; Syrphidae. The transcript is spliced from 5 exons. The record is from RefSeq and is a predicted model, not a curated record.
GUGAGGAUCCGUUCUAACGGUCAGUUCUAGAAGUAAUGUCGUUCAGUUAACUCUAAGCAGUCAUCAAGUUACGAGUAGUGUAUCAUCUCCAAAAUAGACUAAAAACUGAAAAGAAAAAUCCACACAAAUUUCCUUGGAAAAACUGCACUUGUUAUAAAAGUUCAAGUUUUUACAUCAUCAUUAUGUAAAACGAUAUCGAAUCCAAAAAUAUAUUGAAUUAAAAUCAAUUUUUAAAAAAUUAUUCACGCAAGUAAAUUCACAAUCAAUCGCAUUCGAAAAUAGCCCGACACAAAAAUAUACAACAUGGGUUAAGACCUAUAAGUGCGAUAAUGUUAUCAAUUUUUUCAUAUAUUUCAUUUUUUUUUUCGUAAUAGUGUGUUGACGCCAGUUUCUUCAAAACCAAGUCUGACAAGAAAAUAAAAUCUCAGCUUAUCAAACGAUACAUUAUUUAUGUGGAGAAAUGCUGCUGAUAUAAAACGUGGUUGUUCUAAGUGUGACUGAAGUUUUUGAAUGUCGAAUAAACAUGAUCUUUUUUUUAUUUUUUAAAUAUCGGUGAAUGAAAAGUGAGAGACACAAGGUUGUUAGAAAAUGUUGUUAUCAAAUUGCAAAAUAAAAAACUUUUUACUAAAUUUGGUUCAAAAAAUUAAGUGUCGAAAUGUUGGUGAUAGUGACAAGGGACAAGGAUAAAAGUCUAAGUGAAGUUCUUGUCAUCAUGUUCGUGUCAUGUCAGAGUCAGAGUCACAAUCACACAGUAACAGUUAUAACAGAGUAGGUACGUCCUCUGUCCAUCCAUCCGUCUGUCCGUCAGUCCGUCAGUCCCUUUCGUUCGUUCUUUGGCUCGUUUCAUUUGCACAACGACGACGACGAUGACGAAGAAGUGUUCCAAUGCUGAUGAAUAAUGACGACAGCUAUAAGAUGACCAUUGAAAAAGGAGAUUAUUAUUUACGGUGACAGAUGAACUAGAAUUUGAGCUUAAAGAAAAUUUAACAGGAAAUGUGCAGAAUUCUACUUUUCUCCUUAAUGCAUUUGUGAGGAUUUGAAGUAAUUUAAAGCGAAUAUUCACACAAAUUUGAAGGUCUAUAAACGUGUUUCAGAAAACUAUUGAUACAAAAUGAAUUGCUCAAUAUUUAAUCGUGGUGUUAUGAAGAAAGUGUGGAACCAGCUAAGCGCCUUCAGAACUUCAAGUUAUCCAAUAUAACUCACCAUUUUAAAAGGCAAUCUUUCCCCCAAAAAUGAUGUAGGUAACCAUAUGCUCUAUCGUUCCACCGACAAAAGGAAGAAGGUGUUAAGAUAUCAAAAUGACCCACACCUGUGAGUGAAACAAUCCAACAGUAAACUAGCAUCAAGUGGGUACUUUUAUAACAACACUCCAAACAAAAAAAGAACAUUCGUAAGUACAAGUUUUGAAUUAAGGCCAAUACUAAAUAAAAAGCUUUAUCUCUCCUCUUGUGGUAUUUAUCCAAACCACAUCUUGAGGGACACCUCAAACUUCUGAAAUGUGUUUCAUUUUUAUUCUGGUUACUUAGCAUAAAUAAAACAUUGAAACAAAAAAAAAAGAAAACUUCAAAGCCAAAACGAUGAUAAGAAACAAAAGAAUCUUAACUAAAAAAUAAAUGAAAGAGGAACAAAAUGCUUUUCUAAGUACUAGUGCCGCAGGAGAUAAUAUUAAAAACUCCUGCUGCCCAAGUGCUUAUCAAAGAGUUUUACCGAUGACAACAACAACAACAAUAACAAAAAACCUGAAAAAAAUAAAAUCACAAGAAAAAAAAAUAAUAUUUCUUGUCCGUAAAUAAAAUUUAUUUUUUUUUUAUUUCAUUUUUAUGUUUUUGUUUAUGUAUUUUUAUAUUUUCAUUCGUUUCUGCGUGUUGGAAGUACUACUCUUGUUUUGUGAGGAAAAUUUCGAUAUUGGACGAAAAGCGUGGAAUGAAGUGGUUUAAGGUUUCUCCUUUUAUAUCCUCUUAUUUUUCUUUUUGAGGAUUAAGCAGAGGGUGUGAGAGGGAUUGAGAUGCUUUAAAUCUGUGGAAUUUUGUUUUGCAAGUUUAACUGAAUAAUGACAACCGCAGCAAUAUAAUGGAAUGUUGAUGAAAUGAAAAAAUACAAGUUAAAAUCUUAUUUACAACAAGAAAAAGUCGUAAACGAAAUGAAGGUUUUAUGAAUAAAACUAUUUACUCAACCUAUAGUAGUUUCAUCAGUCAUUCAAUUUUAUAAUGAAGCUUGAAAACUUUAAAAACUGAACGAAAUAACGAAGGAAGGAAUACAAUUAUUAAAAAUAAAUGUAAAUUUAAUUUUAAGUUUCCAAUAUUUAACAAAAACAUACAAAAUUAA